Quercus lobata is the source of this 834-nucleotide RNA transcript. RefSeq lists it as uncharacterized. The transcript has 3 exons. Lineage: Eukaryota; Viridiplantae; Streptophyta; Magnoliopsida; Fagales; Fagaceae. The record is from RefSeq and is a predicted model, not a curated record.
UAAACUCAUGUCAGGCACAGAACAGAAGCAGCAUCCAUGGAGAGCGGCGCGUGGCCCCACGCGCUUGUGAAGAUGUCUCCCCUACACCUUCGCCGCCGUCAGAAUUUCCGUCUCCAUUGUCGUAUCUGUCCUCGGCGCCGCCUUGGGCAUUUGUAUAACCGGAAGCAGUUUGAUCGGUGCUGCAAUCAAAGCUCCCCAUAUUCCUUCCAAGUACCAAGAAUUUAGUUAGUGUUAUCUUUUGUGAAGCUGUUGCAAUUUAUGGCUUUAUUGUGGCAAUUAUUCUACAAACAAAGUUAGAGAGUGUUCCAAAAUCACAGAUUUAUGCACCUGAGUCUCUUAGAGCAGGAUAUGCGAUCUUUGCCUCUGGGAUUAUCGUGGGCUUUUUAAACCUUGUCUGCGGGUUCAAAUCUCUUUUCUUUUACUCUUAGAUCCUCCAAUGGAGUUCUCCUAACUAACACUCAAAUUUUUUUCCCUUGCUCUUACAAUUGUGCAGAUUCUUCUUUUGACAACAGGCCAUGUGUGAGAAUCAUUGGAAGCAGUCGUGCUUUGUCUGAUGCUCAAAACUCCUCUCUUUUUGUAAAGAUUCUUGUUAUCAAAAUCUUUGGUAGUGCACUUGGGUUGUUUGGAGUGAUUGUGGGAAUUAUUAUGUCAGCUCAAGCCACAUGGCCUGCAAAAAAAGUGUAAUUUUCUACUCUAAAUGGAACAUUAGGAAUUGGUUAUGAAACAGUAUCAUAAAUAUGCUCUGUAUUCUUUCAUCUGUUAUUAAUAGGCAUGUUAAUAGUUUGUGCGGAGAUAGUUUGUAUUCAAUCUAAACAAUGUGUAUCAUUGUGUUGU